RNAcentral lists this transfer RNA (87 nucleotides) under Nitrospinae bacterium CG11_big_fil_rev_8_21_14_0_20_45_15. RNAcentral describes it as "tRNA-Leu". It matches the Rfam family "tRNA". Rfam says of the family: Transfer RNA (tRNA) molecules are approximately 80 nucleotides in length. Their secondary structure includes four short double-helical elements and three loops (D, anti-codon, and T loops). The record is from RNAcentral. Lineage: Bacteria; Pseudomonadati; Nitrospinota.
GCCGAAGUGGUGAAACUGGUAGACGCGCUGGACUCAAAAUCCAGUGGGGGCAACCCCGUGACGGUUCGACUCCGUCCUUCGGCACCA